CGGCGAGCGGCGCUGCGGGACGGGCGACGGGCAGGAGGAGUCCUCAAGAUUCUCCCCUGUAGGGAACUCAACUCCCGAAGCCGGCCCAGCUCCUCCGUCAGCUCGGUGUAGGCCAGCGCCAAAUUCACCCUGAAGUCAGAGGGCAGUGGGAAAGACGAGAAGGGCAGUGGGUCUACCGUCCCAGCUGUGGAGGAAGAACUGGCUCUACCCCAGCAUCUGGCCCCACCAUGCUCCCUCCCACCCGCAGGGCCCUCCUACCCCAAUUGCAGAAAUCCUCCCUACCUUUAAGGUCCAGCUCAAAAGCCACCUCUUCCAGGGAGACUCCCUCUGCAUCCUGAGACCCAUUCCCUGGGCUAGGGCAGUGGUUCCCAGCCUAAGUGCAGGGACAGGGAGCAGAGAGAUUCCAAGGGCUCCCUGAAUCCCUGCAUCAGGCACUGUCCGUGGUCUGAACACAGCUCAUACAGGUAUGUGUGAAUGUUUUUCUAAUCUGUGCAAAAGCUGUGAUGAUGAAUUAAAGCACCGAUUCAUCAAAAAGCUGUACUGAAUUUAUAGUAGCUUCUGUCACUGUGAAUUUUCUCAAGCAAUGCAUACUAAAAGUGUUAUAAUCUGUGUACUGGGAGUGGGAUCCAUGAAGAGUCCUCACCUUUGAAAAGGUUGGGGACCCUGCUGCAUAGAAUAGCUCGUUCCAUAAGUGAAGAUGGUUUCCUGGCUGGUGGAGGUGCUAACUGAUAAACUUAACCCCAAGCCAGCCCAAUUCCAUGUCCACUGCACCUGGCUCGACCUCAAAGCUGCCUCUGGGCUCUUUUCAGCUUUGCCCCUCCCAGGACCUCCUUGCUGUACAACUCCACCAGGGCCUUAACACUGAGAUCUUUGUGAACAGCUGCUGUACACUGCACACUUGCAGUGAGUGCCAGUCACACCAGGCACUUCUCAAAGGCUGCCUUGUUCUAGAACUUUA
RNAcentral lists this long non-coding RNA (958 nucleotides) under Homo sapiens (human). RNAcentral's name for it is "HSALNT0241747". Lineage: Eukaryota; Metazoa; Chordata; Mammalia; Primates; Hominidae. The record is from RNAcentral.